AGAACAGCUUCCAUGACUGCAACAACCACCAGAAGCAAUCCGUGGAGGGUCUUUUUGACUUCUCAUGCAGCUUCUCCACUACCCACUUUCGAGCCAGGCCUGCAUCACAGGAGCAAAUAGGCUACUCUCAAUCCUCAACUUGUGUCAAGCCAACCCUGUCAAAACCAGUAUCAAGGAAAGACGGAGGGAAAAAAGGAAGAAGAUACUGAAGGACCUUAUGCCUACAUAUCUCAAGAAGAUCUUCCUCUGAGGGCUCGAGUGUA
This is a long non-coding RNA of Musa acuminata AAA Group (dessert banana), 263 nucleotides long. RefSeq lists it as uncharacterized. The record is from RefSeq and is a predicted model, not a curated record. The transcript has 3 exons. Lineage: Eukaryota; Viridiplantae; Streptophyta; Magnoliopsida; Zingiberales; Musaceae.